UACGAAAAUUUGAAAUAUGGAAUUAUAUUUAUCAGGCGAAUUAGAUGAAACCCAAAAAAAUAAACGUCCAAUUUAUGUAAAUUUCGAAUACGAUUUCCAAAAUUUCGCCCAAUACGCAAUCAGUUCGUUGUGUUACUGUUUAACCGGAACUGCUUAUAUUUAUUUCGAUCAAAGUGAAUCAUCAACGCCCAUCGUGCUAACAAUCGUAACUUCAGUAUUUGUUUGUUUGCCUAUUUAUUACAUGGAACUUUUUUUGGGGAGAUACACUCAAAAUAGUAUUUUACAUUUAAAGUAUAUGGUACCGGUUGCAAGAGGACUACCUUAUAUUACUAUACUUGUUACAAUUUUGUACACGAUAGGAUCUGGGCAUGAUUUAACCGAUACAGUUCUUUACUUGUUAAUGUGCUUCCAAAGGGAGCUACCUUGGGCGGUUUGUCCGAAAAAUACAACGAAAUUUUGCUAUUAUAAAGAAAAACCAAAGAAUUGUACCACCGAUAAAUGCGUACACAGCGCUAUGGCGUAUUGGAAUAAUAUAUUCAUGGAAAACCCCGCUAUUGAUAUGAAAAACGUUCGAUUAGGACUUCCGAUUGUGCACCGAUUCGUAUCAUCUUGUAUUUGUUGGGCUUUCAUUUUUUUAUUAACAGCGACCGCUUAUAAACAACGCCAUAAAUGUUUAAGUGUUAUGUUUUACAUACAUUGCGCUUCAACGCUAAUCCUUUUCGUAGUUGUCCUUAUAAACGUCGGCGCAACUUCCGAAUUACCAACAAUUUUCAGCAUCGGUUCAAAAUAUUAUUUAGACGCUGACCAAUGGGCUGAAGCCUUAACCAAAGGAAUCAAACUUUUCAAAUUAGGCCAUGCCCAUCAUGUUCUUGCAGGAGCUAGAUUACCAAGUGAUGCUCCAAUUGGUUUAUGGUGCGUUUAUUUUUGGAUGAUUUUAAUGACUUUGGCGAUGUUUUGUACUAUGUUUGUCACGGCUAUUAUUGGGGUGCAAAAAUAUAGUACUGGGGGAGAUGUUGAUGCUAUGAAUUCUUUGCAUUUAUUUUUUGUUGUUAAAAUACCCGGAGGAUUAACGUAUACAGGAGCAUCACAUGCUUGGUCGGCUCUUUAUUUCUUCACGAUAGGAACGCUAAACGCAACUAAUAUAGUCUCAAGAAUAAUAACCCUUCAAUUAAACAUAACCAAUUUUAAACCAACCCUUCAAAAAUACAAAGUAUAUUUUUUAGUUGGUUAUUGCUUGCUUUACGCGAUAACAAGUACCGCUUUGUUAUCCGAAGAUCAUUACGCGCUUUCAAGGAUUAUCCUCGAUUCAAGCACAUCAGUUUCUGAGAUAGCCACAACAACGAUUCUUGUAAUCACCGUUUGUUGGGUUUAUGGGAUUCGAACGAUCGGGGAUGAUAUCUUGUUUUUAACCGAUCAUAAACCAAUUAAAUUUUGGGUCAUCUCCUGGUACAUUUGUCCCAUUGUUUUAAUAAUACUUUUCGUUUUUAAAGUGUUCCAAAUGAUGGAGCAUCACUUGUAUUUGCUGAUGGUUAUUUCGGGGUUUAUCGUUUUAUUGCCGAUUUUGGCUUUCGCCGGGCAUCAAGUGUUCUUGUACGUCCGUAAACGGCGCUUAUUGGGGUUAAUCGAACCGGAGUUUGAAUGGGGGAUGCCGGAUCUUGAUGAAAGAUAUCGCAGAAGAAGCUUUAACCCCCGCUUAGAGACGAAAUUCGAUUGCAAUAAAAGAGUUUGUGGUCAUAAGUGCAUCAAAAACAGUGCGUGUUUAAGAACGGUCGUUUAUUACGAAAAUAAGAACAGAUUUGCUUUGUUUGAAGCCGGAGAAGAUAAACUUCAAGAGAUUAUAUCGAAUUACACCGAGAAUUUCGAUCAACAAUCGGUGUAUUCUAAAUAAAUAAAUAUGAUUUGGGGAUAAUCAAAAUUGACGUUUUUGAUGGUGUCAGGUUGAAAGAUUAUUUUUCUAAUCCAACCAUGUUUAAUGAAUAACGUAGAAUUAGAGAUGAAAUUGCUCCGUUUUAUUUUUAUUUUAAUAUGCUUGAGUUGUUUGAUUCAAGCGAGGAAAAAAAGUCUUCAAAAGAAAAUGGUCGAUUAUAAACAUAAAAGAUUUAAAAGAUUCCUUGGUGGAUCAAAAACCACAACAAAUUCCACCACUACGACUGCGUUAUCACCAACAUUAAAUACUAAAGCAACUAAAUUUACUGGCAAUAAUAAUUUUUCGAAAUUAAUGACUCAAUUACAAUCAGAAUCGUUUAAUAAUGGAGCUUCUUCCCCCGCUGCUAAAGACCAAGGAAAAUUGUACCUAGCUUUGCAGCCUUAUAACAAACCCCUCGAAGCUAAUUCAAAUGGAUUGUCUUCUCCGUCUGUAUUACCGCUUUAUUAUACAUUACCAACAACGCGAACUUCAUCGGAAUCCUCAAAACAUGAAAAUACUUGGCCGUUAUUUCAGUUUCAAGGCAACGAAGGCGGUGGAGUAUCGUUAAAAAUGUUUUAUGAUCGUAAUGUAAUAAUGCCAUUGAUCAAAAUAUUGAGGAUGAUAUGCUUAUAUCACAUAAUUUAGAUCCUUCAGUAAAAUAUACCAGCAUGACAGCUCCAAACGUAG
This 2593-nucleotide unclassified non-coding RNA is filed under the name Onthophagus taurus. RNAcentral's name for it is "uncharacterized LOC111417194, transcript variant X2". The record is from RNAcentral. Lineage: Eukaryota; Metazoa; Arthropoda; Insecta; Coleoptera; Scarabaeidae.